This 672-nucleotide ribosomal RNA is filed under the name gamma proteobacterium UST991130-039. Its description in RNAcentral is "bacterial SSU rRNA". It matches the Rfam family "Bacterial small subunit ribosomal RNA", at positions 355 to 1023 of the family's 1533-position model. The record is from RNAcentral. Lineage: Bacteria; Pseudomonadati; Pseudomonadota; Gammaproteobacteria.
AUGGGGAUUUGCCAUGGGGGAACCCUGAUGCAGCCUGCCGCGUGUGUGAAGAAGGCCUUCGGGUUGUAAAGCACUUUCAGUUGUGAGGAAAAGUUAGUAGUUAAUACCUGCUAGCCGUGACGUUAACAACAGAAGAAGCACCGGCUAACUCCGUGCCAGCAGCCGCGGUAAUACGGAGGGUGCGAGCGUUAAUCGGAAUUACUGGGCGUAAAGCGCACGCAGGCGGUUUGUUAAGCUAGAUGUGAAAGCCCCGGGCUCAACCUGGGAUGGUCAUUUAGAACUGGCAGACUAGAGUCUUGGAGAGGGGAGUGGAAUUUCCAGGUGUAGCGGUGAAAUGCGUAGAUAUCUGGAGGAACAUCAGUGGCGAAGGCGACUCCCUGGCCAAAGACUGACGCUCAUGUGCGAAAGUGUGGGUAGCGAACAGGAUUAGAUACCCUGGUAGUCCACACCGUAAACGCUGUCUACUAGCUGUGUGUGCCUUUAAGGCGUGCGUAGCGAAGCUAACGCGCUAAGUAGACCGCCUGGGGAGUACGGCCGCAAGGUUAAAACUCAAAUGAAUUGACGGGGGCCCGCACAAGCGGUGGAGCAUGUGGUUUAAUUCGAUGCAACGCGAAGAACCUUACCUACACUUGACAUGCUAAGAAGUUACUAGAGAAGUUCGUGCNUUGGGAA